UACAGAGGGUGCGAGCGUUAAUCGGAAUUACUGGGCGUAAAGCGCGCGUAGGCGGCUUUGCAAGUCGGGUGUGAAAUCCCCAGGCUUAACCUGGGAACUGCAUUCGAGACUGCAUUGCUAGAGUAUGGGAGAGGGAAGUGGAAUUUCCGGUGUAGCGGUGAAAUGCGUAGAUAUUCGGAGGAACACCAGUGGCGAAGGCGGCUCACUGGUCCAUUACUGACGCUGAGGUGCGAAAGCGUGGGGAGCAAACAGG
RNAcentral lists this ribosomal RNA (253 nucleotides) under uncultured bacterium. RNAcentral describes it as "partial 16S ribosomal RNA". It matches the Rfam family "Bacterial small subunit ribosomal RNA", at positions 524 to 776 of the family's 1533-position model. The record is from RNAcentral.